Myotis brandtii (Brandt's bat) is the source of this 70-nucleotide non-coding RNA. NCBI's taxonomy places the organism in Eukaryota, Metazoa, Chordata, Mammalia, Chiroptera, Vespertilionidae. The record is from Rfam.
GGUGGUUCUCGGGUGAUGCACCCCGGAAUCAGGCUCCCUCCUCUCUGGUUCGGGUUGCAUCACAGCUGCC